GAUGAACGCUGGCGGCGUGCCUAAUACAUGCCAGUCGAGCGAACAGACGAGGAGCUUGCUCCUCUGACGUUAGCGGCGGACGGGUGAGUAACACGUGGAUAACCUACCUAUAAGACUGGGAUAACUUCGGGAAACCGGAGCUAAUACCGGAUAAUAUAUUGAACCGCAUGGUUCAAUAGUGAAAGACGGUUUUGCUGUCACUUAUAGAUGGAUCCGCGCCGCAUUAGCUAGUUGGUAAGGUAACGGCUUACCAAGGCGACGAUGCGUAGCCGACCUGAGAGGGUGAUCGGCCACACUGGAACUGAGACACGGUCCAGACUCCUACGGGAGGUAGCAGUAGGGAAUCUUCCGCAAUGGGCGAAAGCCUGACGGAGCAACGCCGCGUGAGUGAUGAAGGUCUUCGGAUCGUAAAACUCUGUUAUUAGGGAAGAACAAAUGUGUAAGUAACUAUGCACGUCUUGACGGUACCUAAUCAGAAAGCCACGGCUAACUACGUG
This 497-nucleotide ribosomal RNA is filed under the name uncultured bacterium. RNAcentral describes it as "partial 16S ribosomal RNA". It matches the Rfam family "Bacterial small subunit ribosomal RNA", at positions 28 to 507 of the family's 1533-position model. The record is from RNAcentral.